This 570-nucleotide ribosomal RNA is filed under the name Cryptosporidium parvum. Its description in RNAcentral is "SSU rRNA". It matches the Rfam family "Eukaryotic small subunit ribosomal RNA", at positions 473 to 1083 of the family's 1831-position model. Lineage: Eukaryota; Apicomplexa; Conoidasida; Eucoccidiorida; Cryptosporidiidae. The record is from RNAcentral.
AAAAUUAAACCUUCUUCCGCGUCUUUGCUCGAGAGUUUGCAGUAUGCCCCCCUCACACGUAUCACCACGGAGGGCAAGUCUGGUGCCAGCAGCCGCGGUAAUUCCAGCUCCAAUAGCGUAUAUUAAAGUUGUUGCAGUUAAAAAGCUCGUAGUUGGAUUUCUGUUAAUAAUUUAUAUAAAAUAUUUUGAUGAAUAUUUAUAUAAUAUUAACAUAAUUCAUAUUACUAUAUAUUUUAGUAUAUGAAAUUUUACUUUGAGAAAAUUAGAGUGCUUAAAGCAGGCAUAUGCCUUGAAUACUCCAGCAUGGAAUAAUAUUAAAGAUUUUUAUCUUUCUUAUUGGUUCUAAGAUAAGAAUAAUGAUUAAUAGGGACAGUUGGGGGCAUUUGUAUUUAACAGUCAGAGGUGAAAUUCUUAGAUUUGUUAAAGACAAACUAAUGCGAAAGCAUUUGCCAAGGAUGUUUUCAUUAAUCAAGAACGAAAGUUAGGGGAUCGAAGACGAUCAGAUACCGUCGUAGUCUUAACCAUAAACUAUGCCAACUAGAGAUUGGAGGUUGUUCCUUACUCCUUGAA